Molecule: long non-coding RNA, 2654 nt
Filed under: Helianthus annuus (common sunflower)
Lineage: Eukaryota; Viridiplantae; Streptophyta; Magnoliopsida; Asterales; Asteraceae
Description: hypothetical non coding rna
Source: RNAcentral
GGGUUAUUUUGUUGGUGAAUCUGUGCAAGUCAAUUAAUUAGGGUUCCAAGCUACCAACUCCCAUCUCAAAAUUUUAGUCCCUGUUUCUCCCUUGCUCCCCUACGUCUAGCCAUUCAAAACUCUACUCCCAUACAUUUGAUCUGCUAGUAGAACUAAGCCUCUUGCAGAUGCAAUUUCACCUUUCAGGUAGGCUUUUCCAUCGCCUUUUUUUUCUUUUAUUUAUUUCAGUUUUGUGAAAUUGAAGCUGGAAUCAUGAGUUUUGUUAAUUUGAUUUCUGUUUUUAAUUGAUUCUAUAUGAUUUCGUUAAUUUUUUGUUUGAUUUUGAUUUCUGUUAAACCCAGUCCAGAUUCUCUCUUGUUUGUUUAUAGUUACCCACAUGUGUAGGGCUUGUUCAUUUUGAUUUAAUGAUUUAUCAUACAAUCUGGACAUAAAUUAGAUUCGUUAAUGGUGUUCUUCAAAGGAGAUUGAACCUGCAGUAAUUAGGAUAGCACACUGGUGACUUGGUGGUAUAUCUGAUGCCCUCUCCAUCGCUGCCCACCUUGGUUUUUCGGUUGCUCCUCCCUCUCAGUUUGAGGUUUUUUGGGUUUAGGAAUUCGUAAUGCCCAAAUGAGGUGAAUGGAUGAUUAUUGUUGGUUAGGGGUGUGAACUUAUGACACGACAUAAAAACACGACACCAACCUAAAUCGAAAUUUCGUGGGUUUUGGUUUAGUCUAAACGGGUUCGUACGGGUAUAAUGUUGAACCCGCGAACCCUUUUUAACUAAAGGGUUGGGUUCGUGUCGAACCCAUCAGGUUGGCGGGUUAACUCGUUUAAUGUUGAACCCGCGGACCCUUUUAACUCUGCUGCAAUGUUUGCGGACCCAUUUGCGGUCGGAAUGAUGCGGGUGGUAGCGGUGGCUUUCCUUGAGUUCCGGAGGAUAACCAUGGUUGGUUAUGUGACGGUGUUUUUGUGGUGUGGUUGGUGCUGGUGACCCCGGUGAUCCCACCGAUGGGUGUCGUAAAUGGCUGUGAUCUUGGAAAUUCUGUGUAUUUUUGUCGUACAUUAAAAUAAGACACAGUGUUAAGGCCAGUUAUAAUAGUACAAAACGAAACUCGAAGGUACUGACGUGUGUGGCUGGCGACUGAUUAUUAGCGUUUGUUUGCGGUCUAAGAGAUGAUUGGAGAGAUCUCUGCGGAAGUGAUGCAGUAACACCACUUGCCCGUAAAGAAGAAGUGGAACCGAGAGAGUAGUGGCUGCAUAAACGCAGCAGCAGCGGCUGCAGAUACGCAACAAGAACCGAGAGAGCAGUGACCUGUACGUCACGUGGCGCGCUAUAGUGAGCACUUAUAGCUGCUAUUGACAACUAUGAUUGGAUGUUAGCAUUGUUUUGAUAUAAGCUAUUUUUGAAAGAUAUGUAUAUACAUCUUAUCUUAAAGAAAGACCUGCACAUGUGCUUUUGUGUUUGUAUGCACUUUAUUACUGCUGGUUAGGUGAGUGAUGAGUUGAGAUUGAGUGUUAAAACUUUCAUUUUCAGGUGUCUUAGGUUUCAUUGGUAGUUCAUAGCUAUGCUGUCUAAGCACCUAGGUGCACAGUGCACUCAAGGCGUAUAGGCCAAGCCUGGAGCUUAGGUGCUAAAGAAGCGAGGGCUUUUUUAAACUAGGUGCAUAGUAUAAAAUAUAAUUUUUAAGGAUUUUAGACAUGUUUUAGGCAUGUUUAGGGCCAGUCUGAGCUGUUUAAGGUUGAUUCCAGCCUUAUUUAAGGGUUUAUUUUUUAUUUUAUUAAUCAUUUUUACCUGAAUUUAGCCAGAAAUUGGCCUGAGCUGGUCCUGGUUGUCUGAAAGCUCACCUUACAGGCUGCAACGCUAAAUCUGCGGCGGGCUGCGCUUCAAUGCCUAAGGUGCUUUUGAAAACAUAGGUUCAUAGUUUAUAGCUGUACUUGCAGUCGUUUCAAAUGUGCUCUGUAUUUUAGUAUUGCUAGUGGAAUCUAAAUUAACACCCAACCCAGUCUACCCACCCCCUCCCCUCAAGCCUGAUUAACACCGGGAAACUUGAUCUCCAACUAUAAUACCAUUUGCAUCAUAUAUUUUAAAUGUCUAUCUAGUGGCCCUUAAUUAGGUAGUUUGUAAUAAUAUCUACUUGUCUCUUUUAGUCAAAUAAAAUAAAAAGACACUACUGCAAUAGCAUAUUGUUUAUCACCUCUGACUGAAGAUUAUAUGCACGAUUUUUGCAGCUCAUCGCCGUGUCGCGGGUCGCCUUUGUUUCUUGGUGGAUUUAUAGCUGGGCUGGCCUACUCAUAUCCGAUUCAAAUUUCUUUUUGGUCGGUUUCCGGCGAGUGAGAUUAAAAAGUUGAACUUAGUUAUCAAGGAGCUCGUUAAGGAAAAAGUUGAAGAAAAAGAAAGGUUCAAUGCAAUUAUUGCGGGGUUGUUGGCUCAAAAAGAAAAAAGAUAAGGUGGAUAAAGAUGCUAUGCUUGAUAGGAUGUCACAAAUUGAAGCUAUGUUAACAGCUACAGUUCGAAGAUAGGCUAUAAACGCUUGGUUUUGAAUGUUUAGAUGUGUAUCUUAUUAGGAUAAUUUUAGUUAUUUUAUGCUUUAGUUGGUGUUUUUUAUAUGCUUUUGAAAACGAGAUGUUUUAUAUAAUUUUGGGAUUUUAUUACUUUUUUUAUAUUAUUUGUAGUU